UGGGCCCGCGCCGCGAGCUGCAGUUCCGGGCUGCGCUCUGGCGCGGGAUUCAAGGUGUGUUCGGCGAGUCCUUGUGUAGGGGCGGCUGGGCGGGGGAGAGUCCUGAGUUUGUACUGGAAUCUGCAGCUGAGAUUAGCCAGACCGGGCCCGCCCAGAGGAGGGAUUGGAAGCUGGUGCACUUGACAUUCGAAGAGCGCGAAGGGGAAACGACGCUGCCUCACACCCAGUGCUAGGAGAGUGCGGGUACGGCCCUUCCACAUUUUUCGCUGGCCUGGGGCUCCCAGAUUUCACGAUGCUUCCCUCUAUCCCGCCUCAUUGACCCCUGGACAACCCUGAAAUAUCAUCGUCAGCAUUAUUUCAUCGGAAAGAAGGGCAGCAAGAGAGGCCGGAUGAUUCUCCCAAGGCCACACAGCUAAUUAGUGGGCAGAGCCCAGUCUAGAAGCCAUCUCACCAUCUGACACCUUUCGACAAAGUGCAAAACGCGGUGGUGAGAGACGAGGACACAGACAUUAAGAUUCCGCUCCAGCCCUAGAGGCACUGAGAAUCAGAACGUGAACUACUCUUCACUCCAGGCAGAAAGCAAGAGGCUUGGAUGAGUUUUAGGAAACCAGCACAGUGUCGGGCACAGAGCGCUCAAUGAAUAGAUGUGUAACAACAAAGUAGGGAUCCAACAGAGGAAGAAAUAAUUUAUUGUAAGGUGGCCUUUGGGAAAGCUCUCAGAAAGGUGGAUGAAUCACUUAAGAGGAAUGGACUCCAGCAGCAUCACAGAAUCAAAGCAACACCUAAGGAAUUCACUGUUUCUUCACAUACUUUGAACUGUGAAAACAAGAGUCAUCAUAAUAGCUGCAGUUUACUCAGUACCUACCAGGUACUGUCACCUAUACUGUCUCUAAAGCCCCUACAACCCUGAGCUAAGGAUGAUCAUAUCCCCAACUGCAGAUGAUGACACUGAAGCUCAACGGCUACUCAACUUGCCUGGAAUCCUACAGCAAAAUACUGCAUUGUGUCACAAGAAUUCAACUAUGUACUCAUGGAGAAGGAGGGAGAAAGCAAGGAAGGAAAAAAGAGAAAAGUAAUUUACAUAGUAACAGCAAUUCUGCUCAACAUUCCAUUCAGUGAGCCGAUACCCUGGAGUGCAGAAACUGUUAUGAAUGUACUCCACCAAGGCAAGAAAGGAAGAAGACAUGGAAUUUAAAAAACAGAGGAUCUACUAUGAAAGAGAAAGGUGAAGGGAAUUCCAGGCUGAUGGUAAAUGCAAAUUCCAGGAUGAGAGUUGGGCAGCAGGCCUAGAGUGCACUCCGUCCUGGGAGGAGCCAGAUGAUAGAGGGCUCUAGGAGAGAAGGCUCCAAGGGAAAAUGAAACAAGUAAGUGACCUGACGUGUGUCUGAACCAGCCCAGAGGAGAUCCAUAGUUCUGAUAAGGAGUCUGGGGUGGAAAUAAUAGGUACAUGGAACACUAUGCAAACAAAAUACUAAUUAUUAAUCCUGGGAAAUAAAAGUAACUGCAGUUUACUAUGUGACUCAGCUAUAAAUAAUAUAAAUACUGUAUAUUAACCUGAUAAAAAUGAUGAUUUACCUAAAUUGGGAGGAUGGGGAAGAGAAGUAUUUGUCCGGGGACAGGGGAGCUGCAAGAGUACUAAACCGUAUCUCCCACAGUAUGAUGUCAAAAGAUAAUAUAAAUAAAUAAGAAAGAAUAAC
This 1697-nucleotide long non-coding RNA is filed under the name Homo sapiens (human). RNAcentral describes it as "GALNT16 and EXD2 antisense RNA 1, transcript variant 3 (GALNT16-AS1)". Lineage: Eukaryota; Metazoa; Chordata; Mammalia; Primates; Hominidae. The record is from RNAcentral.